Molecule: regulatory RNA element, 75 nt
Organism: Gordonia hirsuta
Lineage: Bacteria; Bacillati; Actinomycetota; Actinomycetes; Mycobacteriales; Gordoniaceae
Rfam family: 6C RNA
Source: Rfam
GAGCCUUCAGCCCGACCCCCCGGGGCUGAAGGCCGAUGACCCCGGCCUCCUCCCCCCUGGCCGGGGUCAUCACCU